This 253-nucleotide ribosomal RNA is filed under the name uncultured bacterium. Its description in RNAcentral is "partial 16S ribosomal RNA". It matches the Rfam family "Bacterial small subunit ribosomal RNA", at positions 524 to 776 of the family's 1533-position model. The record is from RNAcentral.
UACGAGGGGUCCAAACGUUAUUCGGAAUCACUGGGCUUACAGAGUUCGUAGGCGGCUCUACAAGUGAGGUGUGAAAGCCCUCGGCUCAACCGAGGAACUGCGCGUCAAACUGUAAAGCUAGAGGGAGAUAGAGGUGAGCGGAACUGAUGGUGGAGCGGUGAAAUGCGUUGAUAUCAUCAGGAACACCGGAGGCGAAGGCGGCUCACUGGGUCUCUUCUGACGCUGAGGAACGAAAGCUAGGGGAGCAAACGGG